AGCAGCCGCGGUAAUUCCAGCUCCAAUAGCGUAUAUUAAAGUUGUUGCAGUUAAAAAGCUCGUAGUUGAAUUUCGGGAUCAGUACGCCGGUCGUGCCUUCGGUAUGCACUGGUGUCACUGGUUUCUCCCUUCUGAAGAACCAUCAUGCCAUUAAGUUGGUGUGGCGGGAAAUCAGGACUGUUACUUUGAAAAAAUUAGAGUGUUUAAAGCAGGCUCGCGCUUGAAUACAUUAGCAUGGAAUAAUGAAAUAGGACGUUUGACCCUAUUUUGUUGGUUUCUAGGAUCGACGUAAUGAUUAAUAGGGAUAGUUGGGGGCAUUAGUAUUCAAUUGUCAGAGGUGAAAUUCUUGGAUUUAUUGAAGACUAACUACUGCGAAAGCAUUUGCCAAGGAUGUUUUCAUUAAUCAAGAACGAAAGUUAGGGGAUCGAAGACGAUCAGAUACCGUCGUAGUCUUAACCAUAAACUAUGCCGACUAGGGAUCGGAUGAUGUUAAUUUUUAAUGACUCAUUCGGCGCCUUAC
This 520-nucleotide ribosomal RNA is filed under the name uncultured Glomus. Its description in RNAcentral is "SSU rRNA". It matches the Rfam family "Eukaryotic small subunit ribosomal RNA", at positions 569 to 1091 of the family's 1831-position model. Lineage: Eukaryota; Fungi; Glomeromycota; Glomeromycetes; Glomerales; Glomeraceae. The record is from RNAcentral.